Molecule: ribosomal RNA, 499 nt
Filed under: uncultured bacterium
Lineage: Bacteria
Description: partial 16S ribosomal RNA
Rfam family: Bacterial small subunit ribosomal RNA
Source: RNAcentral
GACGAACGCUGGCGGCGUGCCUAAUACAUGCAAGUCGAGCGGACGGAUGGGAGCUUGCUCCCAGACCGUCAGCGGCGGACGGGUGAGUAACACGUGGGCAACCUGCCUGUAAGACUGGGAUAACUCCGGGAAACCGGGGCUAAUACCGGAUAACUCUUUCCCUCACAUGAGGGAAAGCUGAAAGAUGGCAUCUCGCUAUCACUUACAGAUGGGCCCGCGGCGCAUUAGCUAGUUGGGGAGGUAACGGCUCACCAAGGCGACGAUGCGUAGCCGACCUGAGAGGGUGAUCGGCCACACUGGGACUGAGACACGGCCCAGACUCCUACGGGAGGCAGCAGUAGGGAAUCUUCCGCAAUGGACGAAAGGCUGACGGAGCAACGCCGCGUGAGUGAUGAAGGGUUUCGGAUCGUAAAACUCUGUUGUCAGGGAAGAACAAGUACCGGAGUAACUGCCGGUACCUUGACGGUACCUGACCAGAAAGCCACGGCUAACUACGUGC